Molecule: long non-coding RNA, 589 nt
Organism: Raphanus sativus (radish)
Lineage: Eukaryota; Viridiplantae; Streptophyta; Magnoliopsida; Brassicales; Brassicaceae
Exons: 3
Source: RefSeq, a predicted model, not a curated record
UUAAUGUUUUUGAUUAUUUACAAAUAUGCUAUUACUCUAGAGUCUCAGCCUCUCUCCUCUCAGCCUCUCUCUCGUCUUCAUCGAUCUCAGGCUCUCUCUUGAGUUUUGUGUUUCUUUGUUGAUACUUAGAUUCUGCAAGUGUGAGAUGACUGGUGGUCCUCCUGCAAAUGUCUACGAGUGUCAAUUGUCUCUGUUCUGAGUGCUGAGUUCUCCAGCUUGCUGAGACUACAGUUGUUGAGUUCUGAUUAGAUGUUUCUAAUCAGAGGAGAAAAAGCGGUGGUGAUGGCUGCGUUUACGUCUGCAGAACAUGCUGUUACCAUUGGGAAAAAAAAAGAGAGAAACCAUGUCAGAAAACAGAACAAUCUUCUCAGAAAAUCGGUUGCAUCUCCAGAAAGCAAAUGCGUAAAAGAGCCCCUAAAGAAUUGUGAUUAGCUGUGUGUAUGUAAAAUUAAUGAUUUUUUUUUUAAGACUUGUUGUAAUAUUUGUUUUAUCAACCAACUUAAUUUCAUGUUUCUUUUAUCUAUAAAACAUAUUUGCCUUAUUUGUUUGAAGUGAUAAUUUUGAAAAUUAAAUAUAUGAUUUUAUCAUA